This 704-nucleotide ribosomal RNA is filed under the name Weissella confusa. RNAcentral's name for it is "bacterial SSU rRNA". It matches the Rfam family "Bacterial small subunit ribosomal RNA", at positions 55 to 713 of the family's 1533-position model. Lineage: Bacteria; Bacillati; Bacillota; Bacilli; Lactobacillales; Lactobacillaceae. The record is from RNAcentral.
UGGCAAGUCGAACGCUUUGUGGUUCAACUGAUUUGAAGAGCUUGCUCAGAUAUGACGAUGGACAUUGCAAAGAGUGGCGAACGGGUGAGUAACACGUGGGAAACCUACCUCUUAGCAGGGGAUAACAUUUGGAAACAGAUGCUAAUACCGUAUAACAAUGACAACCGCAUGGUUGUUAUUUAAAAGAUGGUUCUGCUAUCACUAAGAGAUGGUCCCGCGGUGCAUUAGCUGGUUGGUAAGGUAAUGGCUUACCAAGGCGAUGAUGCAUAGCCGAGUUGAGAGACUGAUCGGCCACAAUGGGACUGAGACACGGCCCAUACUCCUACGGGAGGCAGCAGUAGGGAAUCUUCCACAAUGGGCGAAAGCCUGAUGGAGCAACGCCGCGUGUGUGAUGAAGGGUUUCGGCUCGUAAAACACUGUUGUAAGAGAAGAAUGACAUUGAGAGUAACUGUUCAAUGUGUGACGGUAUCUUACCAGAAAGGAACGGCUAAAUACGUGCCAGCAGCCGCGGUAAUACGUAUGUUCCAAGCGUUAUCCGGAUUUAUUGGGCGUAAAGCGAGCGCAGACGGUUAUUUAAGUCUGAAGUGAAAGCCCUCAGCUCAACUGAGGAAUUGCUUUGGAAACUGGAUGACUUGAGUGCAGUAGAGGAAAGUGGAACUCCAUGUGUAGCGGUGAAAUGCGUAGAUAUAUGGAAGAACACCAGU